Molecule: ribosomal RNA, 501 nt
Filed under: uncultured bacterium
Lineage: Bacteria
Description: partial 16S ribosomal RNA
Rfam family: Bacterial small subunit ribosomal RNA
Source: RNAcentral
AUUGAACGCUGGCGGCAGGCUUAACACAUGCAAGUCGAGCGGGGGAAGGUAGCUUGCUACCGGACCUAGCGGCGGACGGGUGAGUAAUGCUUAGGAAUCUGCCUAUUAGUGGGGGACAACAUCUCGAUAGGGAUGCUAAUACCGCAUACGUCCUACGGGAGAAAGCAGGGGAUCUUCGGACCUUGCGCUAAUAGAUGAGCCUAAGUCGGAUUAGCUAGUUGGGGGGGUAAAGGCCUACCAAGGCGACGAUCUGUAGCGGGUCUGAGAGGAUGAUCCGCCACACUGGGACUGAGACACGGCCCAGACUCCUACGGGAGGCAGCAGUGGGGAAUAUUGGACAAUGGGGGGAACCCUGAUCCAGCCAUGCCGCGUGUGUGAAGAAGGCCUUAUGGUUGUAAAGCACUUUAAGCGAGGAGGAGGCUACUCUAGUUAAUACCUAGGGAUAGUGGACGUUACUCGCAGAAUAAGCACCGGCUAACUCUGUGCCAGCCGCCGCGGUAA